AACGCGAAGAACCUUACCUGGUCUUGACAUCCACGGAAGUUUUCAGAGAUGAGAAUGUGCCUUCGGGAACCGUGAGACAGGUGCUGCAUGGCUGUCGUCAGCUCGUGUUGUGAAAUGUUGGGUUAAGUCCCGCAACGAGCGCAACCCUUAUCCUUUGCUGCCAGCGGUCCGGCCGGGAACUCAAAGGAGACUGCCAGUGAUAAACUGGAGGAAGGUGGGGAUGACGUCAAGUCAUCAUGGCCCUUACGACCAGGGCUACACACGUGCUGCAAUGGCGCAUACAAAGAGAAGCGACCUCGCGAGAGCAAGCGGACCUCGUAAAGUGCGUCGUAGUCCGGAUUGGAGUCUGCAACUCGACUCCAUGAAGUCGGAAUCGCUAGUAACCGUGGAUCAGAAUGCCACGGUGAAUACGUUCCCGGGUCUUGUACACACGC
Molecule: ribosomal RNA, 434 nt
Filed under: uncultured Escherichia sp.
Lineage: Bacteria; Pseudomonadati; Pseudomonadota; Gammaproteobacteria; Enterobacterales; Enterobacteriaceae
Description: bacterial SSU rRNA
Rfam family: Bacterial small subunit ribosomal RNA
Source: RNAcentral